GUGGGGAAUAUUGCACAAUGGGCGCAAGCCUGAUGCAGCCAUGCCGCGUGUAUGAAGAAGGCCUUCGGGUUGUAAAGUACUUUCAGCGAGGAGGAAGGCGGUGAGGUUAAUAACCUCAUCGAUUGACGUUACUCGCAGAAGAAGCACCGGCUAACUCCGUGCCAGCAGCCGCGGUAAUACGGAGGGUGCAAGCGUUAAUCGGAAUUACUGGGCGUAAAGCGCACGCAGGCGGUCUGUUAAGUCAGAUGUGAAAUCCCCGGGCUCAACCUGGGAACUGCAUUUGAAACUGGCAGGCUUGAGUCUUGUAGAGGGGGGUAGAAUUCCAGGUGUAGCGGUGAAAUGCGUAGAGAUCUGGAGGAAUACCGGUGGCGAAGGCGGCCCCCUGGACAAAGACUGACGCUCAGGUGCGAAAGCGUGGGGAGCAAACAGGAUUAGAAACCCUGGUAGUCC
RNAcentral lists this ribosomal RNA (450 nucleotides) under uncultured bacterium. RNAcentral describes it as "partial 16S ribosomal RNA". It matches the Rfam family "Bacterial small subunit ribosomal RNA", at positions 354 to 796 of the family's 1533-position model. The record is from RNAcentral.